GCCCAAGAGAUCGGGAUAACACCUGGAAACAGAUNGCUAAUACCGGAUAACAACAGAUGAUGCCUAUAAACUGUUUAAAAGAUGGUUCUGCUAUCACUCUUGGAUGGACCUGCGGUGCAUUAGCUAGUUGGUAGGGUAACGGCCUACCAAGGCGAUGAUACAUAGCCGAGUUGAGAGACUGAUCGGCCACAUUGGGACUAAGACACGGCCCAAACUCCUACGGGAGGCAGCAGAU
RNAcentral lists this ribosomal RNA (235 nucleotides) under uncultured Lactobacillus sp. RNAcentral describes it as "partial 16S ribosomal RNA". It matches the Rfam family "Bacterial small subunit ribosomal RNA", at positions 128 to 354 of the family's 1533-position model. Lineage: Bacteria; Bacillati; Bacillota; Bacilli; Lactobacillales; Lactobacillaceae. The record is from RNAcentral.